RNAcentral lists this microRNA precursor (64 nucleotides) under Vombatus ursinus (common wombat). RNAcentral describes it as "miRNA (ENSVURG00010016270.1)". Lineage: Eukaryota; Metazoa; Chordata; Mammalia; Diprotodontia; Vombatidae. The record is from RNAcentral.
UGGGAGCUCACAAUCUCAUGGGAGAGACAUGUUGCAAACAACAUUAGAAAGUGAUCACCUUAAG